GAAACUCGCCUACAUGAAGCUGGAGUUACUAGUAAUCGCAGAUCAGAAUGCUGCGGUGAAUGCGUUCCCGGGUCUUGUACACACCGCCCGUCACACCACGGAAGUUGGGGGCGCCCGAAGCCACUUAGCUAACCCAUUUGGGAAGCGAGUGUCGAAGGUGAAAUCAAUAACUGGGGUGAAGUCGUAACAAGGUAGC
RNAcentral lists this ribosomal RNA (196 nucleotides) under uncultured bacterium. RNAcentral describes it as "partial 16S ribosomal RNA". It matches the Rfam family "Bacterial small subunit ribosomal RNA", at positions 1307 to 1500 of the family's 1533-position model. The record is from RNAcentral.